Long non-coding RNA from Melozone crissalis (California towhee), 611 nucleotides. RefSeq lists it as uncharacterized. Lineage: Eukaryota; Metazoa; Chordata; Aves; Passeriformes; Passerellidae. The transcript has 4 exons. The record is from RefSeq and is a predicted model, not a curated record.
GCUCAGGUGUGACAGCGCAGGUGUGACAGCGCAGGUGUCACAUGGGGGUGACCCCAGACCGGGGCAUCCUCCCUGUCUGUCCGAGUGUCCGAGUGUCCGAAUGUCCAAAUGUCCGAGUGUCCGUCCGUCAGGGGAAGCAGGGGGUGGGGGCGGGGCCUGCACGCCCCUGGGCUCAGGUGUGUGCUCGGAAUGGGCGGGAACACCUGUGCAGGUGGGGGGCGGGGCCACAGGUGGGAGGGCGUGUGCAAAGGGGGGCACCUGGGUGUGCAAAGGGGGGCACCUUGGUGUGUGGGGGGGUUGAGUUUGUGGGGCAGGUGUGAGUUCAGGUGUGUGUGAGUUCAGGUGUGUGUGCGCACCUGUGACUGUGUGUGUGUCAGCAGCUCCUGUCCAGGUGUGUGUGAACAGUUCAGGUGUGUGCACACCUGUGCAGGUGUGUCUGUGUUUGUGUGUGUGUGUGCACCUGUUCAGGUGUAUGAGCAGCUCCCGUACCCACGUGUUCCCUGCCGUGAGCAGCCUGGCACGUUCCUUGCUCACACGUGUGUGCAACACCCGCAUCCCCCUACACCUGUGUGUGUGCACUCCCUCACACCUGUGCGUGUGCACUCCCCACA